GACGAACGCUGGCGGCGUGCUUAACACAUGCAAGUCGAACGGAAAGGCCUAGCUUGCUGGGUACUCGAGUGGCGAACGGGUGAGUAACACGUGGGUGAUCUGCCCCUGACUUUGGGAUAAGCCUGGGAAACUGGGUCUAAUACCGGAUAUUCAUUUUUCCUCGCAUGGGGAUUUGUGGAAAGCUUUUGCGGUUGGGGAUGGGCCCGCGGCCUAUCAGCUUGUUGGUGGGGUAAUGGCCUACCAAGGCGACGACGGGUAGCCGACCUGAGAGGGUGAUCGGCCACACUGGGACUGAGACACGGCCCAGACUCCUACGGGAGGCAGCAGUGGGGAAUAUUGCACAAUGGGCGCAAGCCUGAUGCAGCGACGCCGCGUGAGGGAUGACGGCCUUCGGGUUGUAAACCUCUUUCAGCUCCGACGAAGCGCAAGUGACGGUACCUGCAGAAGAAGCACCGGCUAACUACG
This 465-nucleotide ribosomal RNA is filed under the name uncultured bacterium. RNAcentral describes it as "partial 16S ribosomal RNA". It matches the Rfam family "Bacterial small subunit ribosomal RNA", at positions 28 to 505 of the family's 1533-position model. The record is from RNAcentral.